UACGGGGGGAGCAAGCGUUGUUCGGAUUUACUGGGCGUAAAGGGCGCGUAGGCGGUCGUGACAAGUCACUUGUGAAAUCUCCGGGCUUAACUCGGAACGGUCAAGUGAUACUGUCGGACUAGAGUACAGAAGGGGCAACUGGAAUUCUCGGUGUAGCGGUGAAAUGCGCAGAUAUCGGGAGGAACACCAAUGGCGAAGGCAGCUCGCUGGGACGUUACUGACGCUGAGACGCGAAAGCGUGGGGAGCAAACAGG
Molecule: ribosomal RNA, 254 nt
Filed under: uncultured bacterium
Lineage: Bacteria
Description: partial 16S ribosomal RNA
Rfam family: Bacterial small subunit ribosomal RNA
Source: RNAcentral